This 618-nucleotide ribosomal RNA is filed under the name uncultured bacterium. RNAcentral's name for it is "bacterial SSU rRNA". It matches the Rfam family "Bacterial small subunit ribosomal RNA", at positions 338 to 949 of the family's 1533-position model. The record is from RNAcentral.
CCUACGGGAGGCAGCAGUAGGGAAUCUUCCGCAAUGGACGAAAGUCUGACGGAGCAACGCCGCGUGAACGAUGAAGGCCCUCGGGUCGUAAAGUUCUGUUGUUAGGGAAGAACAAGUGUUAGUUGAAUAAGCUGGCACCUUGACGGUACCUAACCAGAAAGCCACGGCUAACUACGUGCCAGCAGCCGCGGUAAUACGUAGGUGGCAAGCGUUGUCCGGAAUUAUUGGGCGUAAAGCGCGCGCAGGCGGUUUCUUAAGUCUGAUGUGAAAGCCCCCGGCUCAACCGGGGAGGGUCAUUGGAAACUGGGAAACUUGAGUGCAGAAGAGGAAAGUGGAAUUCCAAGUGUAGCGGUGAAAUGCGUAGAGAUUUGGAGGAACACCAGUGGCGAAGGCGACUUUCUGGUCUGUAACUGACGCUGAGGCGCGAAAGCGUGGGGAGCAAACAGGAUUAGAUACCCUGGUAGUCCACGCUGUAAACGAUGAGUGCUAAGUGUUAGAGGGUUUCCGCCCUUUAGUGCUGAAGUUAACGCAUUAAGCACUCCGCCUGGGGAUCGGUCGCAAGACUGAAACUUAAAGGAAUUGACCGGNUGAGACGNGCGAGACGACGACGAGGGAGAG